CCUACGGGUGGCAGCAGUGGGGAAUAUUGCACAAUGGGGGAAACCCUGAUGCAGCGACGCCGCGUGAGUGAAGAAGUAUUUCGGUAUGUAAAGCUCUAUCAGCAGGGAAGAAAUAGCGACCUUUGGGUCGCCAGAAGGUACCUGCUUACGAAGCCCCGGCUAACUCCGUGCCAGCAGCCGCGGUAAUACGUAGGGGGCAAGCGUUAUCCGGAUUUUCUGGGUUGAAAGGGAGCGUAGACGGCAGCGCAAGUCUGAAGGGAAAGACCGGGGCUUAAUCCCGGUACUGCAUUGGAAACUGUGCAGCUAGAGUGCAGGAGAGGAAAGUGGAAUUCCUAGUGUAGCGGUGAAAUGCGUAGAUAUUAGGAGGAACACCAGUGGCGAAGGCGGCUUACUGGACUGUAACGGACGUUGAGGCACGAAAGCGUGGGGAGCAAACAGGAUUAGAUACCCGAGUAGUC
This 458-nucleotide ribosomal RNA is filed under the name uncultured bacterium. RNAcentral's name for it is "partial 16S ribosomal RNA". It matches the Rfam family "Bacterial small subunit ribosomal RNA", at positions 338 to 795 of the family's 1533-position model. The record is from RNAcentral.